Molecule: transfer RNA, 72 nt
Filed under: Bos taurus (domestic cattle)
Lineage: Eukaryota; Metazoa; Chordata; Mammalia; Artiodactyla; Bovidae
Also listed under: 4 other names
Rfam family: tRNA
About the family: Transfer RNA (tRNA) molecules are approximately 80 nucleotides in length.
Source: Rfam by way of RNAcentral
UCCCUGGUGGCUCAGAUGGUAAGGAAUCUGCCUGUAAUGCAGGAGACCUGGGUUCGAUCCCCAGGUUGGGAA